RNAcentral lists this unclassified non-coding RNA (230 nucleotides) under plant metagenome. Its description in RNAcentral is "partial contains small subunit ribosomal RNA, internal transcribed spacer 1, and 5.8S ribosomal RNA". The record is from RNAcentral.
UUUCCGUAGGUGAACCUGCGGAAGGAUCAUUACAGAGUUCGUGCCCUACCGGGUAGAUCUCCCACCCUAUGUUAUUAUUACUUUGUUGCUUUGGCGGGCCGUUAGGCUCCGGCCCGACUACCGGCCCCGGCUGGUAAGCGCCCGCCAGAGGCCCAGCAAACUCUGAAUGUUAGUGUCGUCUGAGUACUAUAUAAUAGUUAAAACUUUCAACAACGGAUCUCUUGGUUCUG